ACUGCCACACUACCCUCAACGCACCCAAUCUCAUCUAAUCUUGGAAGCUAAGCAGGGUCAGGCCUGCUUAGUACUUGGAUUGGAGAACACCUGAGCUCAAAUUC
Molecule: ribosomal RNA, 104 nt
Filed under: Nannospalax galili (Upper Galilee mountains blind mole rat)
Lineage: Eukaryota; Metazoa; Chordata; Mammalia; Rodentia; Spalacidae
Source: RNAcentral